CGCUGGCGGCGUGCCUAAUACAUGCAAGUCGAACGGCUUUUCUAUGGAAGCUUGCUUCACUGAGAAGAUAGUGGCGAACGGGUGAGUAACACGUGGGGUAACCUGCCCAUAAGAGGGGGAUAACAUCCGGAAACGGGUGCUAAUACCGCAUAGUUUUCUUGAUCGCAUGAUCGGGAAAGGAAAGACGGCCUUUGUGCUGUCGCUUAUGGAUGGACCCGCGGCGUAUUAGUUAGUUGGUGAGGUAACGGCUCACCAAGACGAUGAUACGUAGCCGACCUGAGAGGGUGAUCGGCCACAUUGGGACUGAGACACGGCCCAAACUCCUACGGGAGGCAGCAGUAGGGAAUCUUCCGCAAUGGACGAAAGUCCGACGGAGCAACGCCGCGUGAGUGAAGAAAGGGUUUUCGGAUCGUAAAACUCUGUUGUCAGAGAAGAACAAGUUGGAGAGUAACUGCUCCAGCCUUGACGGUAUCUGACCAGAAAGCCACGGCUAACUACGUGCCAGCCGCAGC
Molecule: ribosomal RNA, 512 nt
Filed under: uncultured bacterium
Lineage: Bacteria
Description: bacterial SSU rRNA
Rfam family: Bacterial small subunit ribosomal RNA
Source: RNAcentral